UUAGAGUUUGAUCCUGGCUCAGGCUGAACGCUUGCGGCGUGCUUAACACAUGCAAGUCGAGCGAAGCGGCGGAGUUCUUCGGAAUAAAGUUGACCGAGCGGAAGUUUGGUGAGUAACGCGUGGGUAACCUGCCUCAUACAGGGGGAUAACAGCUGGAAACGGCUGCUAAUACCGCAUAAGCGCACGGUACCGCAUGGUACAGUGUGAAAAACUCCGGUGGUAUGAGAUGGACCCGCGUCUGAUUAGCUAGUUGGUGGGGUAACGGCCUACCAAGGCGACGAUCAGUAGCCGACCUGAGAGGGUGACCGGCCACAUUGGGACUGAGACACGGCCCAAACUCCUACGGGAGGCAGCAGUGGGGAAUAUUGCACAAUGGGCGAAAGCCUGAUGCAGCGACGCCGCGUGAAGGAAGAAGUAUCUCGGUAUGUAAACUUCUAUCAGCAGGGAAGAAAAUGACGGUACCUGACUAAGAAGCCCCGGCUAACUACGUGCCAGCAGCCGCGGUAAUACGUAGGGGGCAAGCGUUAUCCGGAUUUACUGGGUGUAAAGGGAGCGUAGACGGACAUGCAAGUCUGAUGUGAAAACCCGGGGCUCAACCCCGGGACUGCAUUGGAAACUGCGUAUCUAGAGUGCCGGAGGGGUAAGUGGAAUUCCUAGUGUAGCGGUGAAAUGCGUAGAUAUUAGGAGGAACACCACUGUCGAAGGCGGCUUACUGGACGGUAACUGACGUUGAGGCUCGAAAGCUUGGAGAGCAACAAGGACUAGAUACACUGGUAGUACACGCCGUACACGAUGAAUACUAGGUGUCGGCUUGCAAAGCAAUCCGGAGCCGCAGCAAACGCAAUAAGUAUUCCACAUGCGGAGUACGUUCGCAAGAAUGACACUCUAAGGAAUUGACGGGGACCCGCACAAUCGGUGGAGCAUGUGUUUUAAUUAGAAGCAACGCGAAGAACCUUACCAAGUAUUGACAUAGAUCUGACCGCCCUUUUACAGGGGCUUUCCCUUCGGGGACAGAGAAGACAGCUGGUGCAUGAAUGUCGUCAGCUCGCGUCGUGAGAUGAUGGGGUAAGUCCCGCAAUGAGCGCAACCCUUAUCACUAUUAGCCAGCAGUGAGAUGGGCACUCUAGGGAGACCGCCAGGGAUAACAUGGAGGAAGGUGGGGAUGACGUCAUAUCAUCACGCCCGUUAUGAUCUGGGUUACACACGUGGUACAAUGGCGUAAACAAAGGGAAGCAGAUCCCGCGAGGGUGAACAAAUCUCAAAGAUAACGUCUCACCACGGAUUAUAGUCAGCUACUCGACGACAUGAAGCUGGAAUCGAUAGUAAUCGCAGGUCAGCAUAAUGCGGAGAAUACGUUCACCGGGUCCUUGUACACGCCGCCCGUCA
RNAcentral lists this ribosomal RNA (1386 nucleotides) under uncultured bacterium. Its description in RNAcentral is "16S ribosomal RNA". It matches the Rfam family "Bacterial small subunit ribosomal RNA". The record is from RNAcentral.